Molecule: ribosomal RNA, 246 nt
Filed under: Pseudomonas putida
Lineage: Bacteria; Pseudomonadati; Pseudomonadota; Gammaproteobacteria; Pseudomonadales; Pseudomonadaceae
Description: partial 16S ribosomal RNA
Rfam family: Bacterial small subunit ribosomal RNA
Source: RNAcentral
CGGAUUGUAAAGCACUUUAAGUUGGGAGGAAGGGCAGUAAGUUAAUACCUUGCUGUUUUGACGUUACCGACAGAAUAAGCACCGGCUAACUCUGUGCCAGCAGCCGCGGUAAUACAGAGGGUGCAAGCGUUAAUCGGAAUUACUGGGCGUAAAGCGCGCGUAGGUGGUUCGUUAAGUUGGAUGUGAAAGCCCCGGGCUCAACCUGGGAACUGCAUCCAAAACUGGCGAGCUAGAGUAUGGUAGAGG